GAUGAAAACGCAGUGAAAUGCGAUACUUGGUAUGAAUUGCAGAAUCCCGUGAACCAUCGAGUCUUUGAACGCAAGUUGCGCCCGAAGCCAUUAGGCCGAGGGCACGCCUGCCUGGGCGUCACACGUCGUUGCCCCCCCAUCUACUCCUUCGGGAUUGCGGGGGGCGGAUGAUGGCCUCCCGUGCGCCUUGUCGCGCGGUUGGCAUAAAUGCCAAGUCCUCGGCGACGCACGCCACGACAAUCGGUGGUUGCGAAACCUCGGUUGCCCGUCGUGUGCGGUCGUCGCGCAUCGAGGGCUCGAAAAAAUUGUCGGGCUCCGGCUCGGCUUUCAACGCGACCCCAGGUCAGGCGGGGUUACCCGCUGAAUUUAAGCAUAUCAAUAAGCGGAGGA
RNAcentral lists this unclassified non-coding RNA (390 nucleotides) under soil metagenome. RNAcentral's name for it is "partial contains 5.8S ribosomal RNA, internal transcribed spacer 2, and large subunit ribosomal RNA". The stretch from base 1 to 121 matches the Rfam family "5.8S ribosomal RNA", at positions 35 to 154 of the family's 154-position model. The record is from RNAcentral.